ACACUCAUAGCCUAGUGGUUAAGGUUUUGGUCUUAUAAGUGGAAGGUUAAGGGUUCAAUUCCCAUUGGUA
Molecule: transfer RNA, 70 nt
Filed under: Ipomoea nil (Japanese morning glory)
Lineage: Eukaryota; Viridiplantae; Streptophyta; Magnoliopsida; Solanales; Convolvulaceae
Rfam family: tRNA
About the family: Transfer RNA (tRNA) molecules are approximately 80 nucleotides in length. Their secondary structure includes four short double-helical elements and three loops (D, anti-codon, and T loops).
Source: Rfam by way of RNAcentral